GGUUCGAUCCUGCUCAGAUUGAACGCUGGCGGGAUGCUUUACACAUGCAAGUCGAACGGCAGCACGGACUUCGGUCUGGUGGCGAGGCAAACGAAAAGAGUAAUGUAUCGAACUGCCGGUAGCGGGGGAUAACUACGAAGGAAAGCGGUAGCUAAUACCGCAUACGUCUCUUCGGGAAAGCGGGACCUUUCGCCUCGCACUAUUAGAGCGGCCGAUAUCGGAUUAGCUAGUUGGUGGGGAACGCUCACCAAGGCGACGAUCCAGUUGGCUGAUAUAUGACCAGCCACACUGGGACUGAGACACGCCCAGACCCUACGGAGGCAGCAGUGGGGAAUUUUGGACAAUGGGGAAAUCCUGAUCCAGCCAUCCCGCGUGUGCGAGUUAGCCUUCGGGUUGUAAAGCACUUUUUGGCAGAAAGAAAUGGUACCGGAUAAUACCCCGUGCAACUGACGGUACCUGCAGAAUCAAGCACCGGCUAACUAUGCCAGCCGCGCAUGAUGUAGGCAAGCGUUAAUCGGAAUUAUCAGCGCAAGCGGCGCAGGCGGUUCGGAAAGAAAGAUGUGAAAAUCAGAGCUUAACUGGAACUGCAUUUUUAACUACCGAGCUAGAGUGUAGAGGGAGGUGGAAUUCCGCGUGUAGCAGUGAAAUGCGUAGAUAUGCGAGAACACCCUUGAUGGUGAAGGCAGCCUCCUGGGAUAACAUCGACGCCUUCCUGAUAAAUUAUGAAGCGUGGGGAGCAAAUAGACGAUACCUGUAGUUCAUGCCCCAAACGAUGUCAACUAGCUGUUGGGGCCUUCGCCUUGGUAGCGCAGCUAACGCGUGAAGUUGACCGCCUGGGGAGUACGGUCGCAAAAUUAAAACCAAAGGAAUUGACGGGGAUCCGCACAAGCGGUGGAUGAUGUGGAUUAAUUCGAUGCAACGCGAAAAACCUUACCAACCCUUGACAUGUCUGGAAUCCCGAAGAGAUUUGGGAGGCCGUUGAAACCGGAACACAGGUGCUGCAUGGCUGUCGUCAGCUCGUGUCGUGAGAUGCUGGGUUAAGUCCCGCAACGAGCGCAACCCUUGUCAUUAGUUGCUACGAAAGGGCACUCAAGGAGAUCGCCGGUGACAAACCGGAGGAAGGUGGGGAUGACGCCGGAGCCCUUCAUACGCCCUUAUGGGUGGCUUCACAUCGCCAUACAAUGGUCGGGACAGAGGGUCGCCAACCCGCGAGGGGAGCCAAUCCCAGAAACCCGAUCGUAUCCGGAUUCGUGCUCCAUGGUAACUCGACUGCGUGAAGGCUCGGAAUCGCUAGCAAUUACAGAUCACCGUAUAUCGGCGGCGGAAUACGUUCCCGGGUCUUGUACACACCGCCCAUCACACCAUGUAUGGGUUUUACCAGAAGUAGUUAGCCUAACCGUAAGGAGGGCGAUUACCACGGUAUCUAUGACUGGGGUGGAAGUCGUAACAAGGCAG
This 1455-nucleotide ribosomal RNA is filed under the name uncultured Bordetella sp. Its description in RNAcentral is "partial 16S-23S ribosomal RNA intergenic spacer". It matches the Rfam family "Bacterial small subunit ribosomal RNA". The record is from RNAcentral. Lineage: Bacteria; Pseudomonadati; Pseudomonadota; Betaproteobacteria; Burkholderiales; Alcaligenaceae.